Callithrix jacchus (white-tufted-ear marmoset) is the source of this 1548-nucleotide non-coding RNA. NCBI's taxonomy places the organism in Eukaryota, Metazoa, Chordata, Mammalia, Primates, Cebidae. The record is from RefSeq and is a predicted model, not a curated record.
UGUCCACGUGGAGGAGGCAGGGGAACCCCACGCCCACGGCCUCGCCCACCCACACACGGCUGGAGUUGACAGGACCCGCGGCCACGACUGCUCCCGAGCGCCCACCGUGGGCCACACCCCCGACGACCCAGCAGGGCAGGACCAGAGCUGCAAACCCGAAGGCACACGCAGGACAGCAGCCCGAACCGCCGGCCCGCAGGUCUUCAGGACCAGUCACACACGCAGAUGACGGGCCCAGGCCAGACACCGGAGGCCCCAAGGCGGGUUACUGGAUGGGGGCCUCUUACCCAAGACCUCAUCAGGCACCUUUCCUAGAUGCCCGGGGCUGGAAGCGUCUUUCAAAGCGCUCCCACCUGCCAUUCUUACGACAGCCCAGGGCGUGCGUGCAGGCGCCGUCUACAGGAGCAGACGCGAAGCUGAGUGGUGGCGCUGCAAAGUGGCCGGCGAGGGCUCCAGGCAGGUGCGCGGCUGGCCGGGCCGUCUUUGGGGCCUUAGCUCCUGCAGGUGCCCGAGACCCUCGGGCUGCCCUCUGGUGCCCGUGUCCUUCACUGCAACUCCGCAUCCAGCCCUGACCUACUCCCUUUCUUUCCGACCUUCACUGGAAGGUCCUCUAAGGGACACGGUCUAAGGAGACAUCUUGCCAGCACAGACCUACUCAUGCUAAUGGGGCAACGGUCCUAAGCUAAGAGGUGUAUUAACAGGCGUCUUUUGGAGAGUCACAGCGUUGAUGCAGACCUUCGGAUUCCAGCUCCUAAACAUCUCUCCACUCCUUCCGUCUUCCUGCCCGCUGCCACUGUUCCUAGCAAGGCACCAGCAGCUCGCCCUACCCUGUUCUGGGACCUGCCACCUGGAUCCGAGCAUGCACGCAGUCUUCUCAACGAUCCCCCUUUACCCACUCUCAGCGGCUCCCAAGCCAGUUACUCCACAACCAGCGGAAACUCUUAAGAAUGGAAAUCCAAUCUCAGCUGCUGCUGCUUAAAGGCCUUCAACGCCCCCAGUCCUCUGAGGAUUAAGAGCUAGCUUGGCUGAAGGGGAUUGAUUGGCCUCUGUCUGUCUCUAGGGCCUUUUGCAUGGCCUCUGCUCCCCAGACAGGUGCUCUUCCAGUCCCUCUGUGCACCUGCUCCACCCCAUGGGCUGCUGCAGCUUCGCCUCCCAAGGGAACCCUAGGUUACAGGAAGCUGUGAAAUAGAUGAGUCUAGAAAUAUGCCCAGCUCGGAAUGGUUGCUCACACCUGUAAUCACAGCACUUUGGAAGGCAGAGGCAGGAGGAUUGCUUGAGCCCAGGGAUUUGAGACCAGCCUGGGUAACAUGGUGAGAUCCUGUCUCUACAAAAAAAAAAAAAAAAAAAAAAGAAGAAGAAGAAAAAAGCAAACUCAGCUGGGCAUGAUGGUACAUGCCUGAAGUCCCAGCUACUUGGGAGGCUGAGGUGGGAGCACUUCUUGAGCCCAGGAGGUGAAGGCCACAGUCAGCCAUGAUGGCACCGCUGUACUCCAGCCUGGGCAACAGAGCAAGAGACCCUGUCUCAAAAUAAAAAAGAUUUAAACUUAAA